GACGAACGCUGGCGGCGUGCUUAACACAUGCAAGUCGAACGGAAAGGCCCUGCUUUUGUGGGGUGCUCGAGUGGCGAACGGGUGAGUAACACGUGAGUAACCUGCCCUUGACUUUGGGAUAACUUCAGGAAACUGGGGCUAAUACCGUAUAGGAUCUCCUGCUGCAUGGUGGGGGUGGGAAAGUUUCGGCGGGUGGGGAUGGACUCGCGGCUUAUCAGCUUGUUGGUGGGGUAGUGGCUUACCAAGGCUUUGACGGGUAGCCCGCCUGAGAGGGUGACCGGCCACAUUGGGACUGAGAUACGGACCAGACGCGUACGGGAGGCAGCAGUGGGGAAUAUUGCACAAUGGGCGGAAGCCUGAUGAAGCAACGCCGCGUUCGGGAUGACGGCCUUCGGGUUGUAAACCGCUUUCGCCUGUGACGAAGCGUGAGUGACGGUAAUGAAUAAAGAAGCACCGGCUAACUACGUG
This 468-nucleotide ribosomal RNA is filed under the name uncultured bacterium. Its description in RNAcentral is "partial 16S ribosomal RNA". It matches the Rfam family "Bacterial small subunit ribosomal RNA", at positions 28 to 507 of the family's 1533-position model. The record is from RNAcentral.